GCCUCAUUAGUUCAAUGGAAGAACGCCAGACUUCUAAUCUGGAGGCUGCGGGUUCAACCCCCGCAUGAGGUU
Molecule: transfer RNA, 72 nt
Filed under: Coemansia aciculifera
Lineage: Eukaryota; Fungi; Kickxellomycota; Kickxellomycetes; Kickxellales; Kickxellaceae
Also listed under: 2 other names
Rfam family: tRNA
About the family: Transfer RNA (tRNA) molecules are approximately 80 nucleotides in length. Their secondary structure includes four short double-helical elements and three loops (D, anti-codon, and T loops). Further hydrogen bonds mediate the characteristic L-shaped molecular structure. tRNAs have two regions of fundamental functional importance: the anti-codon, which is responsible for specific mRNA codon recognition, and the 3' end, to which the tRNAs corresponding amino acid is attached (by aminoacyl-tRNA synthetases). tRNAs cope with the degeneracy of the genetic code in two manners: having more than one tRNA (with a specific anti-codon) for a particular amino acid; and 'wobble' base-pairing, i.e. permitting non-standard base-pairing at the 3rd anti-codon position.
Source: Rfam by way of RNAcentral